This 253-nucleotide ribosomal RNA is filed under the name uncultured bacterium. RNAcentral's name for it is "partial 16S ribosomal RNA". It matches the Rfam family "Bacterial small subunit ribosomal RNA", at positions 524 to 776 of the family's 1533-position model. The record is from RNAcentral.
UACGGAGGGUGCGAGCGUUAAUCGGAAUUACUGGGCGUAAAGGGUGCGUAGGUGGUUAAUUAAGUUAUCUGUGAAAUCCCCGGGCUCAACCUGGGCAGGUCAGAUAAAACUGUUUAACUCGAGUAUGGGAGAGGGUAGUGGAAUUUCCGGUGUAGCGGUGAAAUGCGUAGAGAUCGGAAGGAACACCAGUGGCGAAGGCGGCUACCUGGCCCAAUACUGACACUGAGGCACGAAAGCGUGGGGAGCAAACAGG